Molecule: ribosomal RNA, 115 nt
Filed under: uncultured bacterium
Lineage: Bacteria
Description: partial 16S ribosomal RNA
Rfam family: Bacterial small subunit ribosomal RNA
Source: RNAcentral
CGUUCCCGGGCCUUGUACACACCGCCCGUCAAGUCAUGAAAGUCGGUAACACCCGAAGCCGGCGGCCUAACCCUUGUGGAGGGAGCCGUCGAAGGUGGGACUGGCGAUUAGGACU